UGUUAUUUUUGUAAUGUUAGUUGGGAAAUAAGCAUUGGUUGAGAAUCGGGAGAAAUUCAAAACAAUUGUAGCCAGAUGGAACAGUGAAUUGUGCCUGCUGUUUCCAGCAGGAGGGAAGACGGUGUGGGACCUUCCUCCACAGGUGGCCUUUAAAGCGUGCCCCUCAGGUGCUCAGGUUGGUGUCCAGUCCAGAAGGGGAGAGAUGCUGACUGACCUCCUGAAUUCCUCCAGCAUUUUGUGCAUGCUGCUAAAGAAUCAGUUACUACUACCUUAAAAGAAAACAAAUGGAUCCAUAGUUUAACAUUAAUCUGAAAGAUACUACUGUUGUCAGUUCAGUGAAGAUUCAACACAGACUUUUGUGAUCAAGCGUCUGUUUUCAUGGGGCAGUCACUUCCACCUCACUUCUUUAUUCAGUUCCCUUGCCCGUAUUUGGCUGAAGUAUCUAUUGAGCUCUGGAGUCUAUUCAUCCUGGUGGAACCCAGAGUGAAUAUCAGAAGGUUAAUGGUUGACAGCUGGCUGACGUUAUUUUUGGUUUGCUGCUGGCGGCAAAUUUAAGUUUGGCGUUUUUCAUAAAUACAAGAAGGACUCAAAUAGACGUUGAGUAUUUUACUUAAAAGUAACCUUCAACCCAACGUCUUUUUUUCGGAGUUCAAAAUGUUUUUGUUGCAUGCAGAAAUGUAAUUUCGUUUUCU
This is a long non-coding RNA of Hypanus sabinus (Atlantic stingray), 692 nucleotides long. RefSeq lists it as uncharacterized. NCBI's taxonomy places the organism in Eukaryota, Metazoa, Chordata, Chondrichthyes, Myliobatiformes, Dasyatidae. The record is from RefSeq and is a predicted model, not a curated record. The transcript is spliced from 3 exons.